AUUGAACGCUGGCGGAAUGCUUUACACAUGCAAGUCGAGCGGCAGCACGGGGGCAACACUGGUGGCGAGCGGCUAACGGGUGAGUAAUACAUCGGAACAGGCCCAGUCGUGGGGGAUACCACUUCGAAAGAAGUGCUAAUACCGCAUACGUCCUGAGGGAGAAAGCGGGGGAUCGCAAGACCUCGCGCGAUUGGAGUGGCCGAUGUCAGAUUAGCUAGUUGGUGGGGUAAAGGCCUACCAAGGCAACGAUCUGUAGCUGGUCUGAGAGGAUGAUCAGCCACACUGGGAGUGAGACACGGCCCAGACUCCUAAGGGAGGCAGCAGUGGGGAAUUUUGGAGGAUGGGGGCAAGCCUGAUCCAGCCAUACCGCGUGAGUGAAGAAGGCCUGCGGGUUGUAAAGCUCUUUCGGCAGGAACGAAACGGAGAGCUCUAACAUAGCUUGCUAAUGACGGUACCUGAAGAAGAAGCACCGGCUAACUACGUG
This 484-nucleotide ribosomal RNA is filed under the name uncultured bacterium. RNAcentral's name for it is "partial 16S ribosomal RNA". It matches the Rfam family "Bacterial small subunit ribosomal RNA", at positions 29 to 507 of the family's 1533-position model. The record is from RNAcentral.